Molecule: ribosomal RNA, 253 nt
Filed under: uncultured bacterium
Lineage: Bacteria
Description: partial 16S ribosomal RNA
Rfam family: Bacterial small subunit ribosomal RNA
Source: RNAcentral
UACGAAGGGGGCUAGCGUUGUUCGGAAUUACUGGGCGUAAAGCGCACGUAGGCGGUUAUUUAAGUCGGGGGUGAAAUCCCGGGGCUCAACCCCGGAACUGCCUUCGAUACUGGGUAUCUUGAGUUCGGAAGAGGUGAGUGGAAUUGCGAGUGUAGAGGUGAAAUUCGUAGAUAUUCGCAGGAACACCAGUGGCGAAGGCGGCUCACUGGUCCGAUACUGACGCUGAGGUGCGAAAGCGUGGGGAGCAAACAGG